CAAAUUUUAAAAUUAAAAUGUUUUAAAAUAUAUUUUAUAAUGAAUUAUGAAAAUAUGAUUUUUUUAAAAAAAGAUUUGUAUUAGAAAAUUGUUUUUUUAUUAUUGACAAGUGAACACAUUUUUCAUGUUUUCCAUGGAAAACAAAAACUGGAGUUUUUUUGGAAAAUAAAAAACAAAAAUCUGGUUUCUACAAGUAAACAGACCUUUAUUGAUCCUUUGGUAAGCUGUUUCCUGACAUUUUCUUAAUUUUGCAGAAUCGACACACAUUUGAGAAG
This 275-nucleotide unclassified non-coding RNA is filed under the name Hevea brasiliensis (rubber tree). Lineage: Eukaryota; Viridiplantae; Streptophyta; Magnoliopsida; Malpighiales; Euphorbiaceae. The record is from RNAcentral.